This 2195-nucleotide long non-coding RNA is filed under the name Olea europaea subsp. europaea. Lineage: Eukaryota; Viridiplantae; Streptophyta; Magnoliopsida; Lamiales; Oleaceae. The record is from RNAcentral.
AAGCAACAAAAAUACAGAAAUAAUUUAGAGAAUCUUCAUAAUGGAGGUGUUUUUGCCUUCUUUUGUAAGGUACGAAUAUAUAAAGAUAAAAAGAUGGCAAUUCCAAACUAAACACCAGAGUUCAAAAUGAAGAGUAAAGAAGAACUACUUCCCAGUGGGAAGGACAUUUUGUUCAAGAGCUUAUUCUUCCCAAUCCUAGGGUUGGUUCUUAUCACUGCUCUCUAUUUCUACUUACCACACAAUUUAUCAUCCCGAAUGAGUGAUCUAGACAUGAGGUCCAAUGAUUCGGUGUCCCUGAACAUGAAUAGCACUACAGCCACAGCCCUUCAUCCUUCCAGUAACGAUUCAUCAUCAGUAACCUCAGAACAGAAAUGUAAUAUAUUCCAAGGAGACUGGAUUCCAUUUCCAGAGGGACCCUAUUACACUAAUGAAACUAAAUGUGCGAUAGAUGAUAGACAGAACUGUAUGAAAUUUGGUAGACCAGAUUCCGACUUCAUGAAAUGGAGGUGGAAGCCAAGUGAAUGCGAGUUACCUCUCUUCGAUGCCAAGAGGUUCUUGGAACUUGUCAGAGGUAAGACAUUGGCUUUUGUUGGCGACUCCCUGGCAAGAAAUCAAAUGCAGUCCUUGGUGUGCCUCUUAGCUAGUGUAAGUCCUUUAUCUACAAAAAUCAGUAUACAUGUACAUAUACACAAACACAAGCAUACACAUAUUUUUUAGUGAGUGUAGAAUCUAUACAUGUAUAUGUGUAGUUGCUUGAACCUACACGCAUAUCUUGGCUAUGACUGCAAUUUCAGUAUUUGUUCUCUGCCUAAUUCCUGAGAUCCUAGGCAGCCAACCCUGUGGAUGUUUCCACCACGACAGACACAAGAUUCAGGCGGUGGCUCUAUACUGAGUACAACUUCACAUUAGCUGCAUUCUGGUCUCCUCACCUGGUUAGAACACAAGAUUAUGGUCCUGAGGGCUAUAAUGCAAGUCAUCUGAAGCUUUAUCUUGAUGAGGCUGAUGAAGCCUGGGCAAAGCAGACUGAAAAUGUUGAUAUUUUUACAAUCUCGGCAUCCCAAUGGUUUUUCCGACCAUUUAUCGGCUAUGAAAAAGGUCAAAUUGUUGGAUGCCAUAUGUGCAGCGAGAGAAAUAUCAGAAACUUUUCAACUUCCUACGGAUACAAAAUGGCUUUCCGGACAGCUUUCAGGACAUUUCUGAGCCUCGAAAACUAUAAUAACAAACUUGUGUUUCUAAGAACAUUCUCUCCAGCACACUUUGAGAAUGGGGACUGGGACAAAGGAGGAAGUUGUGAGAGAACAAAACCAUUUAAAAAGCAGGAAAUGAAGUUAGAGAAGUAUGUCUUGGAUCUUUACAUGACUCAGGUGGAAGAGUUUAAGGAAGUCCAAAAAGAAGGGGAAAAGAAGGGCUUGAGGUUCAGAUUGUUAGAUACUACUCGAGCCAUGGUUCUGAGGCCAGAUGGGCAUCCCAACCACUACGGGCACUGGCCACAAGAGAAUAAGACACUGGCUGACUGUGUCCACUGGUGUUUGCCAGGCCCUGUUGACACUUGGAAUGAAUUUUUACUACAUAUCUUACAUACGGAAGAGCCAAAUUUGGCCGGCAAAAAGCUAAAGAAAAAUGAGUGAGAAAAUUAUAAGGGCAUUUAUGACGCACACAGAGAAAAGAGCCUGAUAUUCAUCUCUACAGUGACGAUCUCAAGAAUGAAAACCAUACAUCGCAGUAACUUCAAAAGCCUCAAUGCUGCUACAUCAAGCAAUAAGUUGCAUUAUGCUCUUGUGAUUGUACAACAUUCUUGAAGUUAAUGUUUAUGAUACCACAAGAGGAGACAAAAGAGACCUAAAGAUAACUAUUUUCCCUACCACCAAAAAGUAUGUAAUUACAGCUAUUACAAUUGUCAGAAGUAACUUCAUUCAGCUUAGAGCCUAUAAUUCCAUAUCAAACAGAGACCAAUCAAUCCCUCAAGUGGUAUUAGAUCAACAUGCAUUAGCAAAGGAACAUGACAUAUCAUAUGAAUUAUGAACAAAAUAAUUUAAGAUUAAUUUCCACACUUGAAUCUAUGUAGGAUUAUCCAGCUGCCAUAAAAUCUUCCUUUUCGCAUUUGAAUUCGAUUCAAGUGGUACUACUUGAGAAAAGAGCGCCUAGAGUUGUUGAUCCCGAUCAGAUAAAAGUCAUGAACUUAUCAACAACCCCAC